Long non-coding RNA from Biomphalaria glabrata, 1202 nucleotides. RefSeq lists it as uncharacterized. The record is from RefSeq and is a predicted model, not a curated record. The transcript has 3 exons. Lineage: Eukaryota; Metazoa; Mollusca; Gastropoda; Planorbidae.
GGGGUCUUGGAAACACUGUUAUAAAUAAUAAUGGUUUAAUUUAAUAAUUUACAACUAGUGUUAGCGCGGGGCCUAUGAAAGUACGAGGCCCACUGCGGCCGCAUAGGUUGCAGUGCCCUAACACCGGCCCUGCUAUAAAUAAACUCUUUAAACUCUUACAUAUACAUAAAAAUUAAACUUCUUUUUAUUCCGGAUCAAAAUAUGUUUACAUCCGAGACUUGCGAAGCAGAAAUGAUUCCACUUUGCUUUGUCUACGUAAUCUAUUUCUGUGCGUAUGCAAAGAGGAUAUUAAAAAAGUACUAGCGGCAAAAGUGCUGACAUAAAAAAGGCCUUUAAAACGUUAUAACGAAACAUAAGACGCAUAUACUUGAUCCGUUGUAAUCAGGAUAUAGUUGUUUUUUUUUCUUUUUAGGACUGCCGACUUAAAUUAACCCAUGCUUCCCUGAUUUGGCAUGUAUUGCGCAAGGAGCAUACUAUGAAACGAAGUGUGCUUUUUGUCAGUGACCUCAUUACUUUGGAAUUACAGCAGUUUGAAAUGGGCUCAUUCGUUGUUUUCUUGAAUGACCCUAUCUUCAUUAACAUCUAGAGAGCAGAUAACAUUAGCAAUGUAUAGAAAACAGCAUUUAGAUUAUGAGUCGCCUCUUCAAGUAGGUUUAGUUUUAAUAGCCUACUAAGUUAAUAGACGCUAAAUAUAUAGACAUCGCUUCAAGAAAUUAUGAAUUAGACUCUAAAUAAAUCAUGGAACUCUACUAUGUUCGACUGACCUAACAAAUGUGAUUGAAUGAUCAUCUAAUUUUACUGAUUGUUGAUGUACGAAUAAGAGGGUUGGUAAAAAGCCAAUAUUUCUUAUAAUCAUUGAAGACGCCUGUUCUUUAGAUGUCACUUUGGACAUUUUGAAGUCAAAACCAGUAAUUACAGUCCUACAAACAGACCUGCAUUUGUUUACAAGUAAAAAAAAAGAGAGUGAGAGAGUAAAAGACAGCAAGGACGGAAAAAAAGAGGGGUAUGGAAAGAAAGACUUUCUAAACGCUAAAGAAAAAAAAAUGAUGUUUAAAUGUGCACAACUUUUAGUGUUUGUUUACAUCGUGAAGUCUGUGGCCAUGUAUUGGACAGUCUAUAUAUAUAUAUAAUUUAUUUACAAGAUGUGAAGAGAAACCGAGAAACUGUGCCUACGAUUAAAUCUAACGUUUACUUACAUAUAA